UACGUAGGGCGCAAGCGUUAUCCGGAAUUAUUGGGCGUAAAGAGCUCGUAGGCGGUUUGUCGCGUCUGCCGUGAAAGUCCGGGGCUCAACUCCGGAUCUGCGGUGGGUACGGGCAGACUAGAGUGAUGUAGGGGAGACUGGAAUUCCUGGUGUAGCGGUGAAAUGCGCAGAUAUCAGGAGGAACACCGGUGGCGAAGGCGGGUCUCUGGGCCGUUACUGACGCUGAGGAGCGAAAGCGUGGGGAGCGAACAGG
Molecule: ribosomal RNA, 253 nt
Filed under: uncultured bacterium
Lineage: Bacteria
Description: partial 16S ribosomal RNA
Rfam family: Bacterial small subunit ribosomal RNA
Source: RNAcentral